Molecule: ribosomal RNA, 540 nt
Filed under: uncultured bacterium
Lineage: Bacteria
Description: bacterial SSU rRNA
Rfam family: Bacterial small subunit ribosomal RNA
Source: RNAcentral
GAGGAAUAUUGGUCAAUGGGCGAGAGCCUGAACCAGCCAAGUCGCGUGAAGGAUGACUGUCUUAUGGAUUGUAAACUUCUUUUAUACGGGAAUAACAAGAGCCACGUGUGGCUCCCUGCAUGUACCGUAUGAAUAGGCAUCGGCUAACUCCGUGCCAGCAGCCGCGGUAAUACGGAGGAUGCGAGCGUUAUCCGGAUUUAUUGGGUUUAAAGGGUGCGUAGGCGGCCUGUUAAGUCAGCGGUGAAAUCUAGGAGCUUAACUCCUAAAUUGCCAUUGAUACUGGCGGGCUUGAGUGUAGAUGAGGUAGGCGGAAUGCGUGGUGUAGCGGUGGAAUGCAUAGAUAUCACGCAGAACUCCGAUUGCGAAGGCAGCUUACUAAGGUACAACUGACGCUGAAGCACGAAAGCGUGGGUAUCAAACAGGAUUAGAUACCCUGGUAGUCCACGCAGUAAACGAUGAUAACUGGGCGUAUGCGAUAUACAGUAUGCUCCUAAGCGAAAGCGUUAAGUUAUCCACCUGGGGAGUACGCCGGCAACGGUG